This 3165-nucleotide unclassified non-coding RNA is filed under the name Leishmania donovani. RNAcentral's name for it is "gene:LdHU3.24.1590(CDS-product:DNAJ-domain_protei n_putative)". Lineage: Eukaryota; Euglenozoa; Kinetoplastea; Trypanosomatida; Trypanosomatidae. The record is from RNAcentral.
UCCUGCCAACCCAGUACCACCCCCAAUCUGCGAUCCGUGUCUCUUUUGCCUGGACUUCCUCGACAGAGGGCCAACACCAGCCACGGCAGAAGAGCGAGGAGGAGGAGCGAGUGACGACAUGGUGAAGUACGCUCACGCACGCAAAACUCAGCUUCUACGCCCAUCGCGACGCCUCCUCGCUCCCUCUGCACCCCCCCCCCACACACACACACACAGCUCACUUCUGCGUGCACGCGUUAUCCUCGCAGUGGUGUGUUUGAGGAGGCGGAGGACAACGCGGAGAAGAGAGAGAGCGACGGAGGAAAUACAGAAGCAGCGGUGGGGCAGUCGUGUCUCGCGGUGUAGCGGACGCGCGGAUUGUAUGUGCGUUGUGUUGGGAGUGCACCACGUCCUUGUGCUACGAGCAGUCGCCACCACCAGCGCACCAAAUCUUCCUUUGCCGUACUCUUAGCUCUCUCUCUCUCCUGCUCCUCCCAACGCACGACACUCUUCGCAUCGUACGACGCACGCAGACACAAACACACGUGAGGCGUAUUCGUGUAUCUGUGUGUGUUCUCACUUGGAUGGAGAAGGCGGUUUGCAGAACCAAGCCCCCCCCCCAAAAAAAAAAAAAUCUGUACCCACCCCGUGUUUGCGCGUCUCCAUGCUGCGACGAAGCCAUCCGUGGCGCGUCAUGACACCUCGCCAGGCGCUGCGCGUGCUGUCCCUGUCCCCCACAGCGGACCUUACGCCGGCAUCCAUCAAGAAGGCGUACAUCCGGCAAACGUUGCAGUGCCACCCCGACCUGCACCCGAACAAUCCAAAUGCAAACGAAAACUUUCGCAACCUCUCAGACGCCUUUCGUGUGGCGCUCAAGGCGCUGGAGGCACAGCGGGGCGGCGGGUCCGCGGCGGGGCGGCGCAGCACCACCAGCGGUGCCGUCGAUCUUUACGACCCGCAGGAAGCGCUGGAGUCGCUUCGGCAGGCGAUGAUUGCCUACCACAGACAUCAGCAGUCGAGCGAGGCGCCAUCCACGCCCUCGUCGUCCUCCCCACCGUACGGGAAGCCGGAGAGCCACGCCGCUGGUGCUUUCUUCACGCCGACGCUGGAGGACGUGUCAUCCGUUUGUCAGCGGGAGGCGGUCGCGAUGCGCCGUGUGCACACUUUCUGCGCUGAACUUCCCGCGGUGUUGUGCGGCAGCCACUCCGCGGCCCUCUUCGAGGCUGUCGCUUUCUUUCACACACGCUAUGUGGAGUCGAUGUCGGCGUGCGUCAUGCGAUUUGCACAGAAUCUGCCCAUCAUCGUGCGCCGUGUUGUGAAGCAGCGCCGUAGGUACGUAGACAACGGGUACUUGGCGGUGGCGCAAGGCAUCGGCACCGGAUCUCGGCCGCGCGGGCAGCGCAUUGAAGACAUGGCGAUGAAGCCGCUGGUGUUGAUGGGUGCACUCAUCUUUGAUCUGCCUGAAGGGGCUUCAAAUGAGCGGCGGCAGUGCCUCGGCGAAGAUGCGGUGGCGAGCGGCGGCGGCAGCAGCAGCACCUGCGGCGCGUCUCGCCCUGCCGAUGUUCGUGUCUCAGACGAGCUGAAGUGUAUCAUCUAUCCUGCGGACAGCAUCGCUGACAUCACAGCAAAACUCGGCAGGUGGGAAGCGGCCAGCUUCGACCGACUAAAGCUGGAGCUGGCGAUCGUGGACGUGAAUCGACUGAUGUCGGCUAUGUUGGGGCUGCAGGACGAGGAAAGCAGCGGCCGCUCCGAGGCGCACCUCUCCGUGGAGCCGCACCUGAGCGAGAGCAGCGCCGCCGCGGCGAUGGUGUUGCGCACACUCCAGAAGCUUGCCGGCGAUCUGUGUUGUCACUUCGACGCUGCCGUUGACAGCGGCGCCGUUACCGAGGCGAUGGUGGAGGCGAUGCGCCUGCAGGACAGUUGCGACACAUCAGCCAGCGUGCAGGACGAUAUAGCGGCGCAGUCUCUAGAGACGCCAGCACUUGUCGCGCAGUGCCGGCAGCUAGCGGAACUGGCGUGUCCAACCAUUCGUGGCAACAUCGUCCUCACCUGGAAAGCAGUCGCGACGGACGAGCUGGUGAAGGAUGACGCCGAACAGGCAGACGUCACAACGGCGCCGAUGCCGUUAGUGGACGCAUCUCAAACAGACAGCGCUGGGAAGGAGAAAGGAGGCGGUAAAGUCACACCACCCUUUCUCGUGGGGCGCCACUUGACGUGCUCCACCGCUGAGACGCUCUUCUUCUCCGUGUCCGUGACGCUGACGAGAGAUCUACACGCCUUCCUACUACGUCUGCGCGGCGCACUGAAGAGGGUUGUGCAGUCCACCAAUCAGUCGAAGCGCACGCUCUUUGAGCUGCUGCCACUGCGCGAGAGCAUUGUGAAAGAGGAGUUCACUCGCAUAGCCUCCGACGACGACGCCGACACGUCACCCUUCCGCUACCGUGGCCCUGUUAACUGCUUUCCACGCAUCUGUAACAUGGACACACACCGCGAGCACCAGCUGUGGAAACACCUCUACGUGCACCGCGAGUACGUUGCCAAGCACGCGCCCGCAAUGAACCCACUCAACGUGUUCUACGAGUGCUUUCCUUACGACCCGGACGCACCGGCGCACCGGCCGAGCUCUCUCGAUGCGGACGGCAACGUGCUGGCGGGGUGGGUCAGCGGCGGCCCUGACGGCUGCGACAACGUCGUCAUCACAGCGACGCAACUCGACGACCCCGCGCACUUCACUGAGUGGCUAGAAGAGGUGGUGGAGCAGUCGUCGCUCAACCGCGAAACAGAAGAAAUCCUGGCCAAGGCUGGCGUCGGCUACGUCAGCCGCGACCCCGUCUUGCCGCUAGCUAAUUAUCUCUCGUUCGUUAAGGCGUUCGCGCAGUCCACCGCGGUGCGCGCCGUGCUGGAGCGCAAGGACGGUGCACCACACAAGGGUACCGCCACGCCGGAUGACAUUGGCCUCGCCAUCAUCGUCUCACCCUCGCGGUGCGACGUUCGAGACGGUGGUCGUCUUUUCAUUCCGUGGUACGUCGAUCCUGCAAUUCUGCUGGCUCUGCUCGACGACGCCAACACCUCGCAGCGACUCGAUGUGUAAGCGGGACCCAGCGCCCACGAUGCGCGACAGCAGCAGCAGCAGCAGGUAACGCGAACGAGCCCGAGCCUCCGAGAGAAUCUUCCACAGAAAAACAG